ACCUUUAUAGAAAUAUUAGAAGAUCCAGCAAGUAGCCUGAAAAAAAUGGAAAUAACAAGGCCAGGGACCAAAAUCUAGCUGGUAUUUUUAACAAAUGGCCACUGAAUUUUGAAAAAUUCCAGUUUUUAACCAAGUUUUCCUGGCUUGCUAACACAUUCUAGGCUACCCCCAACUCUUCUGUUUUCUCAGAUCAGACUCCUAACCUCUAAGUUCCUGUUUGUAUUUAAAUCUAGAACUCUUCAACCCUAUAACAUUUACCUAACUUUCUUAGUCUACUAAGGAAGAUCAGGGGAGAGGUGAGGAUGACUGGAUCCACCCAAUCCCUACUACUCAAGACACAAAGUUAAAUAAAUGGAGUCUUCCCAUCGAGGGUUUGAACCUUGGCAGGGUUUAUGGGACAUUUCAGCCCACAUCACUAGAGAGAAGUUACUAAUAUUACAUACUUGGCAGCUCUCUAAGAUUCUAGGGAAUGUCCUCUAUUGGUAAAGAGGUUCUUCUAAGAAUGAAGUCAUCGUUGUAUCCCAAAACAAAGCAAAAAAUCGUGUUGAGGAAAUUUCUAAUGGAACUGUGAGCUCGUCUAAGUGAGUCAUCUAGAUGGCAUGCACCAUAAUCCAUUCUCACUUUCUCACUUCAUGCAACUCUUACCCAUGAAAGUCUUCCUCAGAAAGUCUACCCAACAUCCAGGAAUCUUCUUCUAGACCUACUGACCUUUUCUGGAUUGCAGUGGAACAUGAGAGGCAUCCAUCAUUUAUCCCUCAUUUUAUCUAAAGGAAUGGCCCACUUCUUUCGAAUUCAUAUCUUCCUAAUGACACCCUUGAGUUUGCUUCUCCAGCAGAAUUGUUUAAAAAUAUAGUCUUCUUUUAGUGGACAAGUAUUUGUUUCCUCUCUCAUCUUUCCCACCCCAUUUCCCAAUUAGAAAACCAAAAAUAAGCCCUUGUAAGAAA
RNAcentral lists this long non-coding RNA (944 nucleotides) under Monodelphis domestica (gray short-tailed opossum). RNAcentral's name for it is "lncRNA (ENSMODG00000029843.2)". Lineage: Eukaryota; Metazoa; Chordata; Mammalia; Didelphimorphia; Didelphidae. The record is from RNAcentral.